GCCACCAUAGCUCAGUGGUUGGAGCACUGGUCUUGUAAACAUGGGUCGUGAGUUCAAUCCUCACCGGUGGAU
Non-coding RNA from Araneus ventricosus, 72 nucleotides. The record is from the annotation of a GenBank genome assembly. Lineage: Eukaryota; Metazoa; Arthropoda; Arachnida; Araneae; Araneidae.